GUUGUUUUCCUUCUGCAUGAAACAGAUGAGUGUGGUGAAUGGAAGUUGAGAAGCCAAAGGGUGGCUGUGUCUGCCCUGCAGGGGCUCAUUUGAUGUUGUCUGAAGACGCUGCCCUUUGGGGGCUGAGGUAAAGCUGUGCCAAGGACAAGGGGCUGGGGCGGGGAGACCUCUGUCACAGUCUGGAGGGACAGGGUCCAGGCAGGAGGGGACCCCCAGGGAGCAUAAGUCAGCCCUGGCCCAGGCACAGAGCCUGUCCCCAGGCACUUUCUGCACUUUUUCCCCUUUGUCCUCCCUGCACCUGGACACUCUGUUGUUAACACCCAGUCUGGAUACAGUUGCACUUGGGGCAAUUGAAGCAAUGGCCCUGGGCUGGGCCAUCCUCUUACAGCCGGCGGGGCUGGCCGCAGAGCUCUCUAGUGAUGGCCAAGGGGAGCAGAGUCCUGGGUGACAGCUGAGACACGGGCAUCCAGGCACCCCCACACACACACACACCGCAGGGGCUAACCCUGGAGUACGGGGGUCUGAUUUGAGGCCAAGGCCAUCAGUGAAUGGACUCUGCAGAGUCAGGGAACAAGGCAGAAAUGAGGCUGAGAGAUCACAUUACCCCAGGAUGUGUUUUACUUCCCUUCCUCCCUGGCAAGGCUCUCCCCCAACCCCCACCAGUUUAUUAACAGCAGCAAGUUAGAUGUUAUUGCAACAUUGUCUCCAAUGUGAGAAGAGAGCAGUGGUAAACAAACUAGCAAGGUUUAAGGAGGUAGUGCAUGCAACAGGGCAAAUGGGCAGCUCAUCAGAAAUGUCUGAUUCUGCGUUCUGACUGACUGGUGCUUCUCCUCCCCCAGCUUCUAGGAUGUUGCUGGGCAAUGGGCUUUCUGGGUGUGAAAUUUGUAAAAAUUCCCCCAAAGUUUUCUUCCCCAAUGUUCUCCCGGGACGUCUCCAGGGGGCAGGCUGGGACCACCUAACUGACGGGGACAUGGGCAGGAUUUUGACGUGCAAACACUGGGCUGUUCUCCAAGGCCUGCUAAGGCUGCUUGUUCCUCCCCCAGCGAACUCCCUGUCUUCCCUUAGGCCUCUUUCACACACACAGGCUAGUGUCUACCUGCCCACCCAACAGAGUGGCCGGCUGCCCUCUGCGAGCCAGGUCUCUCCAGCCCCACACCAGCAGCCCAAGCAAGCCUCCUCGGCCUGGAGGAGCUUCUGGGCCCCACCCAGUGAACUUCCAGUUCUCCAGGAUCGGCCCGUGACCGCCUUCCUCGGGAGUCUCCCUGCCCCAUGGAAACUCCCAGGAUGACGUGUGCUUGCCAGGUGCUGGCAGUGUCCACACCUCCUGGAAAUCACUAGUUCAGUGUUUCAGAUGUCACUUUCAGCGUCGUAGCCUCAGGGCGGAACAUGAACUCAAGUCCUGUGUGCAGCAUGAAGGGCCCCAGUGAGGCAGCGAGGAAAAUGGAACAGGCUCUCUGCCUGGCGUCCCGAGGCGGGAGCCCAGAGGGCGCGGCCGCUGAAGGCAGCGUGACCACUCCCGGACCUUCGGGGGCAGGUGCUUUGGGGACAGGCUCUGAGGAGCCGCGCCUUAUGCUCCCCGUGAGCUGUCCACGCACGGUGGACUGGAGAUGCUCUGCUCUCGGCCCUUCCUGAGAAACCAGCAGAAGAUGGCCCCAGAACCGUCCCCUGCCACCCCCGUGAGAGACCUGCAUUAGUUCUAGCCUUUUUGAAAUAAUUUACCUUAUUGAUUUGAAAGGCAGAGUUACAGAGAGGGAGGGAGGAAGAGAGAAAGGAACAGAAGCACACACGCACACACACACACACAGAGGUCUUCCAAAUAGCCACGAUAGCCAGGGCUAUGCCAGGCUGAAGCCCUGAACCAGGAGUUUCUAUCAGGUCUGCUACGUGGGAGAAGCAGCCUAAACAUCUGGGUCAUCUUCGGAAGCUUUCCCAGGCCCAUUAGCAGGGAGCUGGAUCCGGGGUGAAGCAGCUGAGACUCAAACCAGCACCCAUGUGGAUGCCAGCACUGCACCGCUGGCUUAACCCAUUACACCACAGUGCCAGCCCCACAGGCUCCUGGCUCAAACCAGCCCACCUGGCCAUUGCGGCCACGUGGGGAGUACGCAGAGGAUAGAAGAUCACUUGACUUUUCAAAUAAAUCUUAAAAGAAGCCUGGGCUCCAGCGCUGUGGCAUAGCAGUAAAGCUGCCGCCUGUGACACUGGCGUCCCAUAUUGGGAGGCUGGUUUGGGUCCCUGCUGCUCUGCUUCUGAUCCAGCUCCUUCUAACAUGCCUGGGAAGGCAGAGGAAGAUGGCCAACUACCUGGGGCAUUGCCACCUGCUGGGGAGACCUGGAUGGAGUUUGGGUGCCUGCCUUCAGACGGGCCUAGUCCAGGCAGGGUAGCUAUGGCCUGGGAAAACAGUAGAAGAUGGCCCAAGUCCUGGGACUCCUAUCUCAAUGAGGGAGACCUAGAAGAAGCUCCUGGCUCCUGGAUCAGCACAGCACGGCAUCUGUGGCCAUUUGGGGAGUGGACCAGCAGAUGGAUGACCUCUCUCACUCUCAGCACUUCUGAUCCUGUGUAACUCUGCCUUUCAAAUCAAUCAAUCAAUCAAAGAAUAAAGAGAAAGAAAAAAAACCAUAGAAGUAAGAUUGGUAUUACCUUUACUUAAUGGAAAACAGCAACAAGAGUCAUCAUACUUUAAUAUUUUCGGCUUAAGUAAUGAAACUGUAGUGAGAAUUCCUGGGGUGCUGGUUCUUUCCUCCCAGCCUUGAGGAGGUGACCAGCACUGCAGGAAAUCACGGAGAAAUCGCACCGUGCAAUGUCCCUGGGCAACCGGAGGAGGGGUCACCUCCCCAGGGAGGGUUCCUCUCCCAAGAGGGCUUGGGCAGUCGGUCCAGAGGGAUCACCACGUGUUCCUGGGCCCACGGCUGUGCUGGGCCCUGGGGGCUCCUCAAGAACUGCAGGAGACACCGAUCCACCUGCUGUGUGGGGCGGGGGUUCCCAGGCUCAUUUCCUACCUGAGAGGAGGUUGUGGCUUCCUGGGGAGAAACACAGGUCCUGAGGGCUCAGCACGAGGCUGUCCCAAGGAGACAGAUCCGAGGCUGUGAUGCGGCCAAGUCUUGUCGCUUCUGGGCUGUGUAGGUCCUGAGGAGUUGAAGCAGGGAGUCUCAUUUUUUUUCUAAGUUGUAUUCUAUUUGUGUGAGAGUGAAGAGGGGAAAAGAGAGGGCUAGCGGAGGACGCCAGGACCCACUCGUGGUUCGGCCCCAGCCGAGAAGCUGCCCAGGAGCACGAGGAGGGCGCGGUCACCCUGCUGCAGCCCCUGGGCGUUCCCCAGGACCCAGAGGCCAGGGAGUACCUGGCGGGCCUCGGCCUGCUGCCAGGCACGGGGACCGAGGGGACGCCAGGCCCUCAGCCCCAGGAUCCUGCGUCCCUGCCCCAGUCCUCACAGAGCAGCAAGCGCCCCCCCAUAGAGGACGACUGCUCGGCUCUGGUGUUGAGUUGCCGUGACAGCAUGGCCGUCGACGUUUCCUCCUCCGCAGGAAGCGACUCCUUCGAGGCCCCCAGCCAGCCACUGCAGGAGUGGAGCCCUGCUCCCAGCGCCACCCCUGACUCCUCCCAAGUCUCCAGCCAGCCACAGCAGGAGAGGAGCCCUGCUCCCAGCGCAGCCCCCCAGCCAGCCUCCAAGGCGUCGCCCUCCAGCCCCAGUGCCAGGAGCCGUGUGGACCUCACAGAGCCAGAAGCCGCCGCAGCUGCCCGUGAGCCUGAGGGGGCUGGGACCACAGCCACCGCAGCCACCCACCGCUGACACCACAGCCAGUGCCCAGGGCAAGGGGCAGGGCCGGCGCAGGGUCGGCAGGAGGAUCCUCUGGUUCCUACUGAGGGCGUGCUGCAUCCUGCCGUCCCGAGGGAGCAGCUCUGGUCACUGCUGCUGCAGAAAAGCCCCAAGUAGCCUCGCUCCGCCCACAUCACCAGGAGCAAUGCGCAGGCUGAGCUCACUGAAAGUGUUUCUUUUCUUGAGCAUUUGCAAAUGUUCCCAAAAAUAAAAUUCAACUUCUUGU
Non-coding RNA from Oryctolagus cuniculus (rabbit), 4037 nucleotides. The record is from RefSeq and is a predicted model, not a curated record. NCBI's taxonomy places the organism in Eukaryota, Metazoa, Chordata, Mammalia, Lagomorpha, Leporidae.